UCAUUGGUGGUUCAUUGGUAGAAUUCUUGCCUCCCAUUUGGGAGACCCGGGGUUCAAUUCCUUGCCAAUGUA
This 72-nucleotide transfer RNA is filed under the name Sarcophilus harrisii (Tasmanian devil). It matches the Rfam family "tRNA". Rfam says of the family: Transfer RNA (tRNA) molecules are approximately 80 nucleotides in length. Their secondary structure includes four short double-helical elements and three loops (D, anti-codon, and T loops). Further hydrogen bonds mediate the characteristic L-shaped molecular structure. tRNAs have two regions of fundamental functional importance: the anti-codon, which is responsible for specific mRNA codon recognition, and the 3' end, to which the tRNAs corresponding amino acid is attached (by aminoacyl-tRNA synthetases). tRNAs cope with the degeneracy of the genetic code in two manners: having more than one tRNA (with a specific anti-codon) for a particular amino acid; and 'wobble' base-pairing, i.e. permitting non-standard base-pairing at the 3rd anti-codon position. The record is from Rfam by way of RNAcentral. Lineage: Eukaryota; Metazoa; Chordata; Mammalia; Dasyuromorphia; Dasyuridae.